CUGGCGGCGGCCUACACAUGCAAGUCGAGCGGUAGAGAGAAGCUUGCUUCUCUUGAGAGCGGCGGACGGGUGAGUAAUGCCUAGGAAUCUGCCUGGUAGUGGGGGAUAACGCUCGGAAACGGACGCUAAUACCGCAUACGUCCUACGGGAGAAAGCAGGGGACCUUCGGGCCUUGCGCUAUCAGAUGAGCCUAGGUCGGAUUAGCUAGUUGGUGAGGUAAUGGCUCACCAAGGCGACGAUCCGUAACUGGUCUGAGAGGAUGAUCAGUCACACUGGAACUGAGACACGGUCCAGACUCCUACGGGAGGCAGCAGUGGGGAAUAUUGGACAAUGGGCGAAAGCCUGAUCCAGCCAUGCCGCGUGUGUGAAGAAGGUCUUCGGAUUGUAAAGCACUUUAAGUUGGGAGGAAGGGCAGUAAAUUAAUACUUUGCUGUUUUGACGUUACCGACAGAAUAAGCACCGGCUAACUCUGUGCCAGCAGCCGCGGUAAU
RNAcentral lists this ribosomal RNA (491 nucleotides) under uncultured bacterium. RNAcentral's name for it is "bacterial SSU rRNA". It matches the Rfam family "Bacterial small subunit ribosomal RNA", at positions 36 to 524 of the family's 1533-position model. The record is from RNAcentral.